GCUUGUCUCAAAGAUUAAGCCAUGCAUGUCUAAGUAUAAACAAAUUCAUACUGUGAAACUGCGAAUGGCUCAUUAAAUCAGUUAUAGUUUAUUUGAUGGUAUCUUGCUACAUGGAUAACUGUGGUAAUUCUAGAGCUAAUACAUGCUGAAAAGCCCCGACUUCUGGAAGGGGUGUAUUUAUUAGAUGGAAACCAAUGCGGGGUAACCCGGAAUAUGGUGAUUCAUAAUAACUUUCGGAUCGAUUUAUCGAUGCAUCAUUCAAGUUUCUGCCCUAUCAGCUUUGGAUGGUAGGGUAUUGGCCUACCAUGGCUUUAACGGGUAACGGAGAAUUAGGGUUCGAUUCCGGAGAGGGAGCCUGAGAAAUGGCUACCACAUCCAAGGAAGGCAGCAGG
RNAcentral lists this ribosomal RNA (392 nucleotides) under Ochromonas tuberculata. RNAcentral's name for it is "partial small subunit ribosomal RNA". It matches the Rfam family "Eukaryotic small subunit ribosomal RNA", at positions 30 to 432 of the family's 1831-position model. Lineage: Eukaryota; Chrysophyceae; Chromulinales; Chromulinaceae. The record is from RNAcentral.